Molecule: ribosomal RNA, 468 nt
Filed under: uncultured bacterium
Lineage: Bacteria
Description: partial 16S ribosomal RNA
Rfam family: Bacterial small subunit ribosomal RNA
Source: RNAcentral
GACGAACGCUGGCGGCGUGCUUAACACAUGCAAGUCGAACGGAAAGGCCCUGCUUUCGUGGGGUGCUCGAGUGGCGAACGGGUGAGUAACACGUGAGUAACCUGCCCUUGACUUUGGGAUAACUUCAGGAAACUGGGGCUAAUACCGGAUAGGAGCUCCUGCUGCAUGGUGGUGGUUGGAAAGUUUCGGCGGUUGGGGAUGGACUCGCGGCUUAUCAGCUUGUUGGUGGGGUAGUGGCUUACCAAGGCUUUGACGGGUAGCCGGCCUGAGAGGGUGACCGGCCACAUUGGGACUGAGAUACGGCCCAGACUCCUACGGGAGGCAGCAGUGGGGAAUAUUGCACAAUGGGCGGAAGCCUGAUGCAGCAACGCCGCGUGCGGGAUGACGGCCUUCGGGUUGUAAACCGCUUUCGCCUGUGACGAAGCGUGAGUGACGGUAAUGGGUAAAGAAGCACCGGCUAACUACGUG